This 75-nucleotide transfer RNA is filed under the name Phycisphaerae bacterium. Its description in RNAcentral is "tRNA-Asn". It matches the Rfam family "tRNA". Rfam says of the family: Transfer RNA (tRNA) molecules are approximately 80 nucleotides in length. Their secondary structure includes four short double-helical elements and three loops (D, anti-codon, and T loops). RNAcentral also lists the same sequence under 1 other name. The record is from RNAcentral. Lineage: Bacteria; Pseudomonadati; Planctomycetota; Phycisphaerae.
UCCGCAGUAGCUCAAUGGUAGAGCAGCCGGCUGUUAACCGGCGGGUUAGAGGUUCGAGUCCUCUCUGCGGAGCCA